This 1438-nucleotide ribosomal RNA is filed under the name uncultured bacterium. Its description in RNAcentral is "bacterial SSU rRNA". It matches the Rfam family "Bacterial small subunit ribosomal RNA". The record is from RNAcentral.
AGAGUUUGAUCCUGGCUCAGGAUGAACGCCCGUUGUGUGCCUAAUACAUGCAAGUCGUACGCACUGGCCCAACUGAUUGAUGGUGCUUGCACCUGAUUGACGUUGGAUCACCAGUGAGUGGCGGACGGGUGAGUAACACGUAGGUAACCUGCCCCGGAGCGGGGGAUAACAUUUGGAAACAGAUGCUAAUACCGCAUAACAACAAAAGCCACAUGGCUUUUGUUUGAAAGAUGGCUUUGGCUAUCACUCUGGGAUGGACCUGCGGUGCAUUAGCUAGUUGGUAAGGUAACGGCUUACCAAGGCGAUGAUGCAUGGCCGAGUUGAGAGACUGAUCGGCCACAAUGGAACUGAGACACGGUCCAUACUCCUACGGGAGGCAGCAGUAGGGAAUCUUCCACAAUGGGCGCAAGCCUGAUGGAGCAACACCGCGUGAGUGAAGAAGGGUUUCGGCUCGUAAAGCUCUGUUGUUGGAGAAGAACGUGCGUGAGAGUAACUGUUCACGCAGUGACGGUAUCCAACCAGAAAGUCACGGCUAACUACGUGCCAGCAGCCGCGGUAAUACGUAGGUGGCAAGCGUUAUCCGGAUUUAUUGGGCGUAAAGCGAGCGCAGGCGGUUGCUUAGGUCUGAUGUGAAAGCCUUCGGCUUAACCGAAGAAGUGCAUCGGAAACCGGGCGACUUGAGUGCAGAAGAGGACAGUGGAACUCCAUGUGUAGCGGUGGAAUGCGUAGAUAUAUGGAAGAACACCAGUGGCGAAGGCGGCUGUCUGGUUUGCAACUGACGCUGAGGCUCGAAAGCAUGGGUAGCGAACAGGAUUAGAUACCCUGGUAGUCCAUGCCGUAAACGAUGAGUGCUAGGGUGUUGGAGGGUUUCCGCCCUUUCAUUGCCGGGAACCUAACGCAUUAAGCACUCCGCCUGGGGAGUACGACCGCAAGGUUGAAACUCAAAGGAAUGAUCGGGGGCCCGCACAAGCGGUGGAGCAUGUGGUUUAAUUCGAAGCUACGCGAAGAACCUUACCAGGUCUUGACAUCUUGCGCUAACCUUAGAGAUAAGGCGUUCCCUUCGGGGACGCAAUGACAGGUGGUGCAUGGUCGUCGUCAGCUCGUGUCGUGAGAUGUUGGGUUAAGUCCCGCAACGAGCGCAACCCUUGUUACUAGUUGCCAGCAUUAAGUUGGGCACUCUAGUGAGACUGCCGGUGACAAACCGGAGGAAGGUGGGGACGACGUCAGAUCAUCAUGCCCCUUAUGACCUGGGCUACACACGUGCUACAAUGGACGGUACAACGAGUCGCAAGCUCGCGAGAGUAAGCUAAUCUCUUAAAGCCGUUCUCAGUUCGGACUGUAGGCUGCAACUCGCCUACACGAAGUCGGAAUCGCUAGUAAUCGCGGAUCAGCAUGCCGCGGUGAAUACGUUCCCGGGCCUUGUACUCACCGCCCGUCA